UACGUAGGGGGCAAGCGUUGUCCGGAAUCAUUGGGCGUAAAGCGCGUGUAGGCGGCUGGCUAAGUCCGCUCUGAAAGCCCGGGGCUCAACCCCGGGAGGCGGGUGGAUACUGGUCAGCUCGAGUCCGGAAGAGGAGUGUGGAAUUCCUGGUGUAGCGGUGAAAUGCGCAGAUAUCAGGAGGAACACCGGUGGCGAAGGCGGAUCUCUGGGCCGAUACUGACGCUGAGGAGCGAAAGCGUGGGGAGCGAACAGG
Molecule: ribosomal RNA, 253 nt
Filed under: uncultured bacterium
Lineage: Bacteria
Description: partial 16S ribosomal RNA
Rfam family: Bacterial small subunit ribosomal RNA
Source: RNAcentral